AAACACUAAUAGCUGAGCAUAAAUGGGCCCUAUUCUCAUAGCUUUUCACUACUUGUAAGCACUAAUUUCGGAACAUCUAGUAGCUAUUAUUUUUAAAUGAAUUUUUAAAAUAUUUUGUAUUUAUUAAAAAAAUUAUUAUUUUUUUAAAAAAGGCCUCUUUUAAUGAAUUCGCCUUAGGCCCCCAAAUAUAUUGAGCCGCC
Molecule: long non-coding RNA, 200 nt
Filed under: Phoenix dactylifera (date palm)
Lineage: Eukaryota; Viridiplantae; Streptophyta; Magnoliopsida; Arecales; Arecaceae
Description: long non-coding RNA (PDAC_LNC005071)
Source: RNAcentral